AGAGUUUGAUCCUGGCUCAGGAUGAACGCUGGCGGCGUGCCUAAUACAUGCAAGUCGAGCGAACAGAUAAGGAGCUUGCUCCUUUGACGUUAGCGGCGGACGGGUGAGUAACACGUGGGUAACCUACCUAUAAGACUGGAAUAACUCCGGGAAACCGGGGCUAAUGCCGGAUAAUAUUUAGAACCGCAUGGUUCUAAAGUGAAAGAUGGUUUUACUAUCACUUAUAGAUGGACCCGCGCCGUAUUAGCUAGUUGGUGGGGUAAUGGCUUACCAAGGCAACGAUACGUAGCCGACCUGAGAGGGUGAUCGGCCACACUGGAACUGAGACACGGUCCAGACUCCUACGGGAGGCAGCAGUAGGGAAUCUUCCGCAAUGGGCGAAAGCCUGACGGAGCAACGCCGCGUGAGUGAUGAAGGUCUUCGGAUCGUAAAACUCUGUUAUUAGGGAAGAACAAAUGUGUAAGUAACUGUGCACGUCUUGACGGUACCUAAUCAGAAAGCCACGGCUAACUACGU
RNAcentral lists this ribosomal RNA (516 nucleotides) under uncultured Staphylococcus sp. Its description in RNAcentral is "bacterial SSU rRNA". It matches the Rfam family "Bacterial small subunit ribosomal RNA", at positions 8 to 506 of the family's 1533-position model. Lineage: Bacteria; Bacillati; Bacillota; Bacilli; Caryophanales; Staphylococcaceae. The record is from RNAcentral.